This 433-nucleotide ribosomal RNA is filed under the name uncultured bacterium. RNAcentral's name for it is "partial 16S ribosomal RNA". It matches the Rfam family "Bacterial small subunit ribosomal RNA", at positions 29 to 507 of the family's 1533-position model. The record is from RNAcentral.
AACGAACGCUGGCGGCAUGCCUAACACAUGCAAGUCGAACGAGACCUUCGGGUCUAGUGGCGCACGGGUGCGUAACGCGUUGGAACCUGCCCUUAGGUUCGGAAUAACUCCCCGAAAGGGGUGCUAAUACCGGAUCAUGUCUUCGGACCAAAGAUUUAUCGCCUUUGGAUGGGCCCGCGUUGGAUUAGCUAGUUGGUAGGGUAAAAGCCUACCAAGGCGACGAUCCAUAGCUGGUCUGAGAGGAUGAUCAGCCACACUGGGACUGAGACACGGCCCAGACUCCUACGGGAGGCAGUAGUGGGGAAUAUUGGACAAUGGGCGAAAGCCUGAUCCAGCAAUGACGCGUGAGUGAUGAAGGCCUUAGGGUUGUAAAGCUCUUUUACCCGGGAUGAUAAUGACAGUACCGGGAGAAUAAGCUCCGGCUAACUCCGUG